UACGAGGGGUGCAAGCGUUAUUCGGAAUCAUUGGGCGUAAAGGGUGUGCAGGCGGCAUGGUAAGUCAAUCGUCUAAUUUCCCGGCCUAACCGGGAGUCGGCGGUAGAUACUAUCAAGCUAGAGUGUGAGAGAGAGAAGUGGAAUUCUCGGAGUAGCGGUAAAAUGCGUAGAUCUCGAGAGGAACACCAAUGGCGAAGGCAGCUUCUUGGCUCAUCACUGACGCUGAGGCACGAAAGCGUGGGUAGCAAACAGG
This 253-nucleotide unclassified non-coding RNA is filed under the name uncultured bacterium. RNAcentral's name for it is "contains 16S-23S intergenic spacer region". It matches the Rfam family "Bacterial small subunit ribosomal RNA", at positions 524 to 776 of the family's 1533-position model. The record is from RNAcentral.